RNAcentral lists this ribosomal RNA (387 nucleotides) under uncultured bacterium. Its description in RNAcentral is "bacterial SSU rRNA". It matches the Rfam family "Bacterial small subunit ribosomal RNA", at positions 28 to 414 of the family's 1533-position model. The record is from RNAcentral.
GACGAACGCUGGCGGCGUGGAUUAGGCACGCAAGUUGAGCGACAGACAGGCUUCGGCCUGUUAUGGAGCAGCGAACGGGUGAGUAACACGUGAACAAUCUGUCCCCACAUUCCGGAUAAUUGGCCGAAAGGCCUUGUAAUACGGGGGAGGGUCCCGAGAGAGCAUUCUCAUGGGAAGGAAGGCGCAAGCCGUGCGGGGAGGAGUUCGCGGCCUAUCAGUUAGUUGGUGGGGUAAGGCCUACCAAGACGACGACGGGUAGCUGGUCUGAGAGGAUGGUCAGCCACAUUGGAACUGAGAUACUGUCCAGACUCCGUACGGGAGCUGCAGUCGAGAAUCUUGGGCAAUGCACGAAAGUGUGACCCAGCGACGCCGCGUGAAGGAUGAAGG